RNAcentral lists this transfer RNA (71 nucleotides) under Nanobdellota archaeon. Its description in RNAcentral is "tRNA-Val". It matches the Rfam family "tRNA". Rfam says of the family: Transfer RNA (tRNA) molecules are approximately 80 nucleotides in length. Their secondary structure includes four short double-helical elements and three loops (D, anti-codon, and T loops). The record is from RNAcentral. Lineage: Archaea; Nanobdellati; Nanobdellota.
GGCCCGUUAGUCUAAUGGCAGAACACCUCGUUUACACCGAGGAAACGAAGGUCCGAUUCCUUCACGGGCCA